RNAcentral lists this ribosomal RNA (361 nucleotides) under Salmonella enterica subsp. enterica serovar Typhimurium. Its description in RNAcentral is "partial 23S ribosomal RNA". It matches the Rfam family "Bacterial large subunit ribosomal RNA", at positions 2481 to 2836 of the family's 2925-position model. Lineage: Bacteria; Pseudomonadati; Pseudomonadota; Gammaproteobacteria; Enterobacterales; Enterobacteriaceae. The record is from RNAcentral.
GCUGAUACCGCCCAAGAGUUCAUAUCGACGGCGGUGUUUGGCACCUCGAUGUCGGCUCAUCACAUCCUGGGGCUGAAGUAGGUCCCAAGGGUAUGGCUGUUCGCCAUUUAAAGUGGUACGCGAGCUGGGUUUAGAACGUCGUGAGACAGUUCGGUCCCUAUCUGCCGUGGGCGCUGGAGAACUGAGGGGGGCUGCUCCUAGUACGAGAGGACCGGAGUGGACGCAUCACUGGUGUUCGGGUUGUCAUGCCAAUGGCACUGCCCGGUAGCUAAAUGCGGAAGAGAUAAGUGCUGAAAGCAUCUAAGCACGAAACUUGCCCCGAGAUGAGUUCUCCCUGAGACUUAGAGUCUCCUGAAGGAAC